GGCCUAACACAUGCAAGUCGAGCGCGAAAGGUCCUUCGGGGCUGAGUAGAGCGGCGGACGGGUGAGUAACGCGUAGGAAUCUACCUGGUAGUGGGGGACAACUCGGGGAAACUCGAGCUAAUACCGCAUACGCCCUGAGGGGGAAAGCGGAGGAUCUUCGGACCUCGCGCUAUCGGAAGAGCCUGCGUAGGAUUAGCUUGUUGGUGAGGUAAUGGCUCACCAAGGCGACGAUCCUUAGCUGGUCUGAGAGGAUGAUCAGCCACACCGGGACUGAGACACGGCCCGGACUCCUACGGGAGGCAGCAGUGGGGAAUAUUGCGCAAUGGGGGAAACCCUGACGCAGCCAUGCCGCGUGUGUGAAGAAGGCCUUCGGGUUGUAAAGCACUUUAAGCAGGGAGGAAAGGAUUGCGGCUAAUACCCGUAAUCUGUGACGUUACCUGCAGAAUAAGCACCGGCUAACUCCGUGCCAGCAGCCGCGGUAAUACGGAGGGUGCAAGCGUUAAUCGGAAUUACUGGGCGUAAAGCGCGCGUAGGCGGUUUGUUAAGUCGGAUGUGAAAGCCCUGGGCUCAACCUGGGAACUGCACCCGAUACUGGCCGACUAGAGUACGAGAGAGGGAGGUAGAAUUCCACGUGUAGCGGUGAAAUGCGUAGAUAUGUGGAGGAAUACCGGUGGCGAAGGCGGCCUCCUGGCUCGAUACUGACGCUGAGGUGCGAAAGCGUGGGGAGCAUACAGGAUUAGAUACCCUGGUAGUCCGC
Molecule: ribosomal RNA, 757 nt
Filed under: uncultured bacterium
Lineage: Bacteria
Description: bacterial SSU rRNA
Rfam family: Bacterial small subunit ribosomal RNA
Source: RNAcentral